Molecule: ribosomal RNA, 479 nt
Filed under: uncultured bacterium
Lineage: Bacteria
Description: partial 16S ribosomal RNA
Rfam family: Bacterial small subunit ribosomal RNA
Source: RNAcentral
GAUGGACGCUAGCGGCAGGCCUAACACAUGCAAGUCGAGGGGGAAGUUACUUUCGGGUGACUGAGACCGGCGUACGGGUGCGUAACGCGUAUACAAUCUGCCUUUCACUGGGGGAUAGCCCGAAGAAAUUUGGAUUAAUACCCCAUAGUAUAUAGGGACGGCAUCGUUUUUAUAUUAAAGCUUAGGUGGUGAAAGAUGAGUAUGCGUUCUAUUAGCUAGUUGGAGAGGUAACGGCUCCCCAAGGCGAUGAUAGAUAGGGGUUCUGAGAGGGUAGUCCCCCACCGUGAGAAUGAGCAGCGACCCAGAGUCCUAGGGGAGGCAGAAGUGAGGAAGAUUGGAAAAUGGUGGGAAGAUUGAACCAGCCAUGCCGGGUGGAGGAUGAAGGUCUUAGGGAUUGAAAACUGCUUUUGUAAGGGAAAAAUAAGGGCUACGGGAUGUUUGAUAACGGAACCUUAGAAAAAACCCCGGCUAACUCCCUG